This is a long non-coding RNA of Canis lupus familiaris (dog), 1129 nucleotides long. RefSeq lists it as uncharacterized. The transcript has 3 exons. The record is from RefSeq and is a predicted model, not a curated record. NCBI's taxonomy places the organism in Eukaryota, Metazoa, Chordata, Mammalia, Carnivora, Canidae.
GUUUUUCACUGUAACCUGGGAAACGUGAAUUAGAGAUGGUAACCUUGUGUGGUUUCAUGGUAGAGAGUGGAAACUGCUUAUGGUCUAUAGGAAUCAUAGCCAUUCUUUAGAAAAGAGGUUAAGCCAAUAUUGUGCUAAAGGACCAGGGUACUGGAAUAAAUCCAUGAUUUACUGGAGUUUAGAGCCUUAUAACUUCAGUACACAAGUCUGUCCCUGACGAUGUAUGUGUUCUUAAAGAUGGAUGCUUAUUUGCAACUCUCCUCACUUCUUUUUCUGAGCUCUCAGCAGGAUGGCCUUUAAUGUCUACGUUUCUACCAACAGUCUUUUUAAGCUGAUUGUGUUGGUGCUGUCAAGUCUUCAGUUAGCAAACUAUGAAGAAGCAAGAGGACCUCUUUGCAAACUCUAAUUCCUAAACAAAGGCCUUGUAUAAAAAGAAAGCUCAAUGCUCUUCUGUUACUGAGAACAUUGGUAGUCAAAACUAUUUCCAUGAUGUCAGUUCAGCUCCAUGUAAAGCAAAACAUUUAAUUAAUUACAUAAAAAAGUUUCUUUUCCCAUAUAGAUAUCCCUCAUUUCAGGACUGAAGGUGUAUGGUGAAACUUCACUUUGUGUUUUGCAAUCACCAAAAACUUUUGAGUACCCUUUCUACAUUUAUGGAAAGAAUGAUCUGUCCCCAUGUGUUCUGAAAUACACACCAGAAAGUACUUUUAGCCUUCUCUUGUACUAGAUCAUAAGCACUGUGGCCUGGCUCCUUUUAUCAGGCUGAUGGGUAAGAUUUUGAUUUAGAAGUAAGACGAGUUCAUUCCAGCAAGGGUAGGGUCAGAGACCUGUCUUUCAACUCAGCAAUGACAGAGGCAGAAUUGGUGCUAUUUGAUCCCAGGCCUGAUUGCUGCUCUCAAUAGCUGCAGCAAAAAUGUCUUUGGGGUUGCAGUGGAGUAUUCUUGGAUGGUCAGGGGUAAAGCCUAAUCUUAUGUCUUCCUGGAGAUAAGGUAGACUACAUAACAUCUUUCAAUGUUUCUUUUUCCCUUAAACUAGAUCAGAUCUUAUUGCUUGUAACUAAGUACUGGAUAGAGUAAAUGGACAUGGAGUCAUCAAAUACAUCAUUCUCAUUGUGCCUGGCAAAAUGUAAUGU